RNAcentral lists this ribosomal RNA (399 nucleotides) under uncultured bacterium. RNAcentral describes it as "bacterial SSU rRNA". It matches the Rfam family "Bacterial small subunit ribosomal RNA", at positions 362 to 776 of the family's 1533-position model. The record is from RNAcentral.
UAUUGGGCAAUGGGGGAAACCCUGACCCAGCGACGCCGCGUGAGGGAAGACGGCCUUCGGGUUGUAAACCUCUUUUGUACGGGAAGAAGGAAGUGACGGUACUGUACGAAUAAGUCCCGGCUAACUACGUGCCAGCAGCCGCGGUAAUACGUAGGGGACGAGCGUUGUCCGGAAUUACUGGGCGUAAAGGGCGCGCAGGCUGUGCUGCAAGUCAGCUGUGAAAUGUCUGGGCUUAACCCGGGCAUGCGGUUGAGACUGCAGUGCUGGAGUGCUGUAGAGGCAAGUGGAAUUCCCAGUGUAGCGGUGAAAUGCGUAGAUAUUGGGAAGAACACCGGUGGCGAAGGCGACUUGCUGGGCAGCAACUGACGCUGAGGCGCGAAAGCCAGGGGAGCAAACGGG